ACGGGAGGCAGCAGUGGGGAAUAUUGCACAAUGGGGGGAACCCUGAUGCAGCGACGCCGCGUGAAGGAAGAAGUAUCUCGGUAUGUAAACUUCUAUCAGCAGGGAAGAUAAUGACGGUACCUGACUAAGAAGCCCCGGCUAACUACGUGCCAGCAGCCGCGGUAAUACGUAGGGGGCAAGCGUUAUCCGGAUUUACUGGGUGUAAAGGGAGCGUAGGUGGCCAUGCAAGUCAGAUGUGAAAUCCCGGGGCUCAACCCCGGAGCUGCAUUUGAAACUGCGUAGCUAGAGUGCAGGAGAGGUAAGCGGAAUUCCUAGUGUAGCGGUGAAAUGCGUAGAUAUUAGGAGGAACACCAGUGGCGAAAGCGGCUUGCUGGACUGCAACUGACACUGAGGCUCGAAAGCGUGGGGAGCAAACAGGAUUAGAUACCCUGGUA
This 434-nucleotide ribosomal RNA is filed under the name uncultured Coprococcus sp. RNAcentral describes it as "partial 16S ribosomal RNA". It matches the Rfam family "Bacterial small subunit ribosomal RNA", at positions 341 to 792 of the family's 1533-position model. Lineage: Bacteria; Bacillati; Bacillota; Clostridia; Lachnospirales; Lachnospiraceae. The record is from RNAcentral.